GUCCGGAAUUGUUCGUUUUAGUAUUGUCGCAUUACAUCCAGUUUGAAUUUCCACUUCAGAAUUGAAAGAAACGUAAGCGAUGACUGAGAAAAUUACGAUUUUGAGUCAUUAAAAUCAUUUUAUUCUUAAACUGUUGCCUUCCCUUAAUUGCUCUUGAUCGAUUUUAGGAAAAUGGUAGGACAAAUCAUGAAGUAAACGCGAUGCAACAGUUAAACAAGUUCGUUGAUGCUACGAGUAGGUGCAUACUCAUGCAGUAAUGAGAUUUUGACAAUCUGUUUUUGAAAAGGGGC
Molecule: long non-coding RNA, 290 nt
Filed under: Mytilus galloprovincialis (Mediterranean mussel)
Lineage: Eukaryota; Metazoa; Mollusca; Bivalvia; Mytilida; Mytilidae
Source: RNAcentral